GGGGUUGUGGCUCAGUGGUAGAGUGCUUGCCUUCCACGUGUGAGGCACUGGGUUCAAUCCUCAGCACCA
Molecule: non-coding RNA, 69 nt
Organism: Ictidomys tridecemlineatus (thirteen-lined ground squirrel)
Lineage: Eukaryota; Metazoa; Chordata; Mammalia; Rodentia; Sciuridae
Source: Rfam